GGGGAUUUAGCUCAGUGGUAGAGCGCUUGCCUAGCAAGCACAAGGCCCUGGGUUCGGGUCUCAGCUCCG
This is a non-coding RNA of Rattus norvegicus (Norway rat), 69 nucleotides long. The record is from Rfam. Lineage: Eukaryota; Metazoa; Chordata; Mammalia; Rodentia; Muridae.